UAGCAUUAGCAAAGAGAUAGAGAGAGAAGAAGGGAGCUAAAUAAGGAGAGGAGAUACAUAGGAGAUGAAGAAUCAGCCAAAUUUGAGACUUGUGUUUAUCUUUCUUCUAGUGACUAUCUUGGUCUCCUGCUCUAUCGAAUCUGCUCUUGCUUCUCCACUAACCGGUUAGUGCUUCACAAGUUCAUAGUGCAAAAGUAAUGAAAAUAUGUAUGCACCUAGAGCAACAUAUUUGGGGAAAAAAAUAACAUGGUCAUCACUUCAUCUAAUUCAAUUAGCAUGAAUUAGUGCUUAUGCCAAGUUUUUUUUUUUUUGUUUCUUUUAUAGGAUGGAGGCAGAAGAUGAUACAAUCACCAGGAUCAAGAAGUAAACAAACUGGAGGUUAUGGUCGUCGUUACGGCCCCGGUCAUGGCUAUUAUAUUCCGAAGCCGCCACCACCAGUAUUGUCACCAUUAUCAUCACCACCACCACCACUAGCCCCAUCAUCAAUGCCAUUGUCAUUGCCGUGAUACAAAGAAACUUGCUAAAUUAUUUUUAGUCUUACAACAUAUUAAGUUACGUUAGGCUAUGUAUAAAUCAUAGCUACCGCAACGUG
This 592-nucleotide long non-coding RNA is filed under the name Capsella rubella. Its description in RNAcentral is "long non-coding RNA (CRUB_LNC000843)". Lineage: Eukaryota; Viridiplantae; Streptophyta; Magnoliopsida; Brassicales; Brassicaceae. The record is from RNAcentral.